AAACACAUAACAUAAACAUAGCUCAAAACAUAAACAGAGCUCAUGCUAGAACAUAAGCAUAAAACAGAGGUAGAUCACUUCACAUGGAUGAAAAACACAUAACAUAAACAUAGCUCAAAAAAUAAACAGAGCUCAUGGUACAUAAGCAUAAAACAGAGGUAGAACACUUCACAUGGAUGAAAAACACAUAACAUAAUAGCUGAAAACAUAAGCAUAAAACAGAGGUAGAACACCUCACAUGGAUGAAAAAAAACAUAACAUAACAAUAAACAUAAAACAGAGGUAGAACCUUAGAACAUAAACACAUAACAAUUAACAGAGGGACUUACAAUAUGAAAAACAGAGGAGGAGGAGCGGCGCAGGGGGGUCGGAGAGAGACGAAUGGAGGUGGGGUGCCGGCGGAGAGAGAGAGACGAAUGGAGGAAGGGAGACCGUGGGAGUAGUAGGGGAGAUGAAAGUUAGGGCAGUGUCAAACAGAGAGAGAGAGAGGAGAUGAGCGUGUAAAGAAGAACGUUAGGGCACGCACAGUCUGAAGAACGAAAAAGAAAAAUAGAGGAAAAAUAGUGUUUUAACUUUUAACCUUCUAAAAAAUAAGGGCAAAAUAGUAAUUUUGCAUAAAAAAAUAUAUACAAAUAUUUGUGGGUAACCCGCUCCGCCCAGGGUGCGCAACCCGCGACCCGGGAUCUCGCCGAAAUCAGCCGCCAUUUUUGACUGCGAAUCGCUCCUCUCUUCUCACGCGGUGGGGGCCGCUCCAGCCGGACCGCCCGGGAUCGCGCCGUGAUCGGCCGCAAUCGAUAACUGAGUAUUAGUAUACCUAUUGGUCAAGGUCAAUAAUGUUUAGUCUUUUGUAUAAAAUCAAACCGUAAUCACAACUUAAAGAUUUCUUUAUCUUCCCUCCCUCCUCAUCUAUAGCUUUAUAAUUUAAAACUAUAUGCAUCUAUGUCAUUCCUUUUCUAUAAAAGUUUAUUCAAUUAUGAAAACACGGGCCAGUGGAUCAAAUAUACAAACAAAAUUUAUAUUUCUUUCAUCAUAAGUUAGUCUGACUUUUUUUAUCUAUUGCUUAUAUGCAUAAAUUACUUGAAUGAUCUACUGCAG
This 1095-nucleotide long non-coding RNA is filed under the name Lathyrus oleraceus (garden pea). Its description in RNAcentral is "Pisum sativum (pea) long non-coding RNA (PSAT_LNC003282)". The record is from RNAcentral. Lineage: Eukaryota; Viridiplantae; Streptophyta; Magnoliopsida; Fabales; Fabaceae.